This is a non-coding RNA of Misgurnus anguillicaudatus (oriental weatherfish), 697 nucleotides long. The record is from RefSeq and is a predicted model, not a curated record. NCBI's taxonomy places the organism in Eukaryota, Metazoa, Chordata, Actinopteri, Cypriniformes, Cobitidae.
AGCAUCGUCUCUCUCCACAGGUCAAAGAAAUACGACGGGUUGGUGUAAAACUUCAAACCCUCCUUCCCGUCAUCCCUAGAGAAGGAAACAACCUACUAAAGGAGGUUGAGGCAAAAUGGAAAACGUUUGAAGAAAAGGAAACACAAUCCAGCUGAAAUCAAGCAAUUAUCACAUUUGAGUUUAUCAUGAGCAUCCCGAGACAUUUACCUGGCUCCUGGUUUCAGAUGAUCUCCAAACAAAUGUCUUCAGAAGAAAGGUUUUUACACACAUUGACAUACUGUUGCCCCAAAUAGACAGCCGAAAAAGUCUUACUUAUUUUUUUUUUGUCUUAAUUUCCAGCAAAAAUAUCUUAAAAUGUUUAUUUUGAGAUACAUUUACCCUCUUAAAGGCGGAGUCCACGAUGUUUGAAAGCCAAUGUUAAUAUUUUAAAACACCUAAACAAACAUGCCCCUACCCCAAUAGAAUCUGGACCUUCUGUUGAUAGACCCGCCCCACACAUACACAACCCGGCAAGAAUAUCGGUUCUUCACUGCUCCUCACUGCUGAUUGGCUAUAAGUGUGUUUUGGUAGUCGGCCCGUCUCCUUUUCCAAAGCGUUUUUCAAACAUCGUGGACUCCGCCUUUAACCAAAAUGAUACAAAAGAUUAUAUAAUAAUAAUAAUAAUAUGUUUAAUUUCUAUAGCGCCUUUUCCAUGCUC